UAAAGGUAUUCCGGUAGACGAUGGGGAUGCGUUCCAUUAGAUAGUAGGCGGGGUAACGGCCCACCUAGUCUUCGAUGGAUAGGGGUUCUGAGAGGAAGGUCCCCCACAUUGGAACUGAGACACGGUCCAAACUCCUACGGGAGGCAGCAGUGAGGAAUAUUGGUCAAUGGGCGAGAGCCUGAACCAGCCAAGUAGCGUGAAGGAUGACUGCCCUAUGGGUUGUAAACUUCUUUUAUAAAGGAAUAAAGUCGGGUAUGGAUACCCGUUUGCACGUACUUUAUGAAUAAGGAUCGGCUAACUCCGUGCCAGCAGCCGCGGUAAUACGGAGGAUCCGAGCGUUAUCCGGAUUUAUUGGGUUUAAAGGGAGCGUAGAUGGAUAUUUAAGUCAGUUGUGAAAGUUUGCGGCUCAACCGUAAAAUUGCAGUUGAUACUGGAUAUCUUGAGUGCAGUUGAGGCAGGCGGAAUUCGUGGUGUAGCGGUGAAAUGCUUAGAUAUCACGAAGAACUCCGAUUGCGAAGGCAGCCUGCUAAGCUGCAACUGACAUUGAGGCUCGAAAGUGUGGGUAUCAAACAGGAUUAGAUACCCUGGUAGUCCACACGGUAAACGAUGAAUACUCGCUGUUUGCGAUAUACUGCAA
RNAcentral lists this ribosomal RNA (637 nucleotides) under uncultured bacterium. RNAcentral describes it as "bacterial SSU rRNA". It matches the Rfam family "Bacterial small subunit ribosomal RNA", at positions 202 to 842 of the family's 1533-position model. The record is from RNAcentral.